RNAcentral lists this ribosomal RNA (300 nucleotides) under uncultured Oleiphilaceae bacterium. RNAcentral describes it as "bacterial SSU rRNA". It matches the Rfam family "Bacterial small subunit ribosomal RNA", at positions 113 to 410 of the family's 1533-position model. Lineage: Bacteria; Pseudomonadati; Pseudomonadota; Gammaproteobacteria; Oceanospirillales; Oleiphilaceae. The record is from RNAcentral.
ACGGCGUAGAAAACUGCCCAGGUAGUGGGGGAUAGCCCAGAGAAAUUUGGAUUAAUACCGCAUACGCCCUACGGGGGAAAGGGGGCGUUCGGCUCUCGCUAUUGGAUGUGUCUCGCGGUGGGAUUAGCUAGUUGGUGAGGUAAGGGCUCACCAAGGCGACGAUCCCUAGCUGGUCUGAGGAGGAUGAUCAGCCACACUGGGAACUGAGACACGGUCCAGACUCCUACGGGAGGCAGCAAGGUGGGGAAUAUUGCACGAAAAGGGGCGAAAGCCUGAUGCAGCCAUGCCGCGUGUGUGAAG